Erpetoichthys calabaricus (reedfish) is the source of this 372-nucleotide long non-coding RNA. RefSeq lists it as uncharacterized. The record is from RefSeq and is a predicted model, not a curated record. NCBI's taxonomy places the organism in Eukaryota, Metazoa, Chordata, Cladistia, Polypteriformes, Polypteridae. The transcript has 3 exons.
CACAAGCAGAGCAGGACCUGUUACUCGAAGGAUAUGAAGAAUUUCAAGAGUUAAUAUGUACAAGGGGUAACACUGCAAAAGCAGCUCAGACUAGAAAUGAUGGCUGGCAAAAAGUGGCCGACAAAUUAAACGUAUCAAACGUGAGCACAAGGAGAACAUGGGAACAGGUCAAAGUGAAGUACAAGAAUAUACUUCAAACUGCUAAUAAGAAGAAGGCAGACAAGCAAAAAACAGGUGGAGGUCCACACUGUACAGACCUAACCCCUGCAGAAGAGUUGGCUCUCCAGAAAAAUGCCCAUUGCCCGGUUUCUGAGGGCAUUCCAGGGGGAAGCUCCUCCUCAGUACCAGUGGCAGGAUGCAGUGGUCACUUCA